This 403-nucleotide ribosomal RNA is filed under the name uncultured bacterium. Its description in RNAcentral is "bacterial SSU rRNA". It matches the Rfam family "Bacterial small subunit ribosomal RNA", at positions 355 to 774 of the family's 1533-position model. The record is from RNAcentral.
UGGGGAAUCUUGCGCAAUGGGCGAAAGCCUGACGCAGCGACGCCGCGUGCGGGAUGAAGGACUUCGGGUUGUAAACCGCUUUCAGCAGGGACGAUCGUGACGGUACCUGCAGAAGAAGCCCCGGCCAACUACGUGCCAGCAGCCGCGGUAAUACGUAGGGGGCGAGCGUUGUCCGGAUUUAUUGGGCGUAAAGAGCUCGUAGGCGGUUUGGUAAGUCAGGUGUGAAAUCUCCACGCUCAACGUGGAGGGGCCACCUGAUACUGCCAUGACUUGAGUACGGUAGAGGAGUGUGGAAUUCCCGGUGUAGCGGUGAAAUGCGCAGAUAUCGGGAGGAACACCCGUAGCGAAGGCGGCACUCUGGGCCGAUACUGACGCUGAGGAGCGAAAGCGUGGGGAGCAAACA